This 208-nucleotide ribosomal RNA is filed under the name uncultured bacterium. Its description in RNAcentral is "partial 16S ribosomal RNA". It matches the Rfam family "Bacterial small subunit ribosomal RNA", at positions 568 to 774 of the family's 1533-position model. The record is from RNAcentral.
CUCGUAGGCGGCCAACUAAGUCAGACGUGAAAUCCCUCGGCUUAACCGGGGAACUGCGUCUGAUACUGGAUGGCUUGAGUUUGGGAGAGGGAUGCGGAAUUCCAGGUGUAGCGGUGAAAUGCGUAGAUAUCUGGAGGAACACCGGUGGCGAAGGCGGCAUCCUGGACCAACACUGACGCUGAGCGAGCGAAAGCCAGGGGAGCAAACG